Molecule: non-coding RNA, 11432 nt
Organism: Oryctolagus cuniculus (rabbit)
Lineage: Eukaryota; Metazoa; Chordata; Mammalia; Lagomorpha; Leporidae
Source: RefSeq, a predicted model, not a curated record
UGCCACUUCCUGCUUCAUACCUCCCUCUGGGAUAGUGGGUUCUGGAAUCAGUGGGAGCUCAGAGGGGAGAGGUAGCCGGGUCUCUGGUAAUCACUGGCCCUUGGCUGAGGGAGUGCAGCGGAUCCCACUUGUAUUCCACCGUCACUCGCCACAGGCCCAGGGUAAGGAACUGAGAAGCAACCCAAUAGCAGGUGCCUGCCCUCAGAGAGCCUGUUGUCUAUGGGUUGGGAAGGCUAGGAGAUAAAUAAUUAUACACACAAAGUUUCGGUGAGGUUCUUCUUACCCACUCUUGGUUACAGGAAAAGAUCACCUGUCUGGUUUCAUCUCUGCCCCUGCUAUGGACUACCAAGAGGAGCCAGACACAAAACCCCUUCCUGAAACGUGCCAGGCUUUGCUCUGCUAGAAUGACUUGGGUCCUGCUCUCAAACGUCAAGUCCAAGGUCAUCUGUUACCUCCUCCUUGAAGCCUCCUAUACCUUCCUAGACAACAGAGCCGUGGCUCCCAUUGUUCCCUGGAGCCCCGGGGAAGUCAGAAGCACAAAGUUCCCAUCCCAGAGUCAAGAUCCGCAACCCUGUGUCUGAAGGCCAGCUCCGCUCAUCUUCCUGUGUGAUACUGGACUAGCUGCUUCAACUCUCAAGCCUCAGGUUCCUUAACCAAAUGGUGCACUAGGUUGACUGGGCUCAUUUUGUGAAAAUGCAAGGAGACUGGCGCCAAUCAAGCACUCCGAGUCCGCCAGCUGAUAAGAGUGAGUGAGUACGCUUCGUCUUCGUGAUUCGGACUUUGAGUUCUGGAAGACGACUUCUCAGGCUGAGUAAGACGACUUCACAAUGGGUCAUGAUGUUCUUUUUGAAAAUUAAAAAAAACCCUCCAACUGUAGAAAUUCAACAAAUCCUGAAACCAAAAGGGUCUAUCCAACGAAUCAUGUCUACAGGCCGUCUCCUCUUACAGACUACAGUGAUGACCAAAGAGCACACCAUUGGCGCUCUCAGGAACCGGGGAAGAGGAAACCCAGGAAAGAAACAGAAUCCAGAGCUGAAGAGGUUGGAGGGCAGCAAAAGAGGGAAGACAAUCUUGUUCAUCUGCUGGUUCGCUCUCCAAAUGCCCUCACAAACAGGGCCAAGGGUGGAGCCCGGAGCUCAGUCUACGUCGCCACAAGCACGUCGGAGAUUCAAGAAGUUUGCACCACCUUUGCCUCCCCUACAGUCUGCAGUGGCAGGAAGCUGGAAUUGGGAACUGGAGCCAGGAAUCAAACCCAGAGAGCUGUAGGGGUGCUGAGAAGACUUCUUUACUCAAGUUAUUAUUGUAUCCAGCUUUGCUGCUUAUCGAUUGGAAUUUCCCCAAUUCACCCUCCCAUGAAAUGCACUUCUGGAAGAGGUUAAUAAACAAGGAACACAAGCCUCUGUGUGUGUGUGUGUGUGUGUGUAUGUGUGUAUGUGUACGCACUCAUGCAUGAGUAAGUGCACGGGUGUACAUACUUGUGAAUUAAUUUUAAAGACUUGCAGCUGUUGAAGGGAAGCUCUUCAGUAGUCCCAUAAUUACAGUAUAUUGAAUCAUUUUAAUAUAUCCAUGCAGCUCAAUUUUUCUUUCUUCUAAAGGAAUUCAUGUAAGAGUCUGAAUAAGGGUAGUGUUAUGACAAAUUAUUGACUUAGAAUUCUUAACAUUUUUACAUUCACUCAUUCAUAAAAGAGGAAAACCAAAAAAACAGCUUUAAAUAAUUCAGGAAAUAGAGCUUUUAUGAUCCAAAAGAGAACACCCACAGCAGCGUGUAGACUUGUUAGAACAGGUUAAGAAUCAGAAUUUUUAAACUGAAAGUUCAGAAUUGGUUUAGGGAAUUCUGGUAUACCGAAGAAUUUACAAUUCUUUAUUUCUGUCCUAUAUAUUUUCAGAGCUGAUGUUUCACACUCUAUUGUUUACCCAAUGCAAUGCACCUUUAGAACAACUGACCCUACUCGAGGUGACAGAGUCCCUGACCACUAAGGGAGGAUGUGCAAGUACAUGAUACUGGCUGCAAGCAGAGCAAGGAUACACCACUUCUUGGAAGCAUCAGAGGGAAUUAAGUAGCUCACUAUUGAGCUGAAAGCCUAGGAUUCAUAUGUAGAAUGUAAUUACUUCUGUAAGUUAGUAUCUUAUUUGAGAAAUGAUCGUAGUGUUGAAGAGGUAAAUUCAUGAAGGACAGCAGAAAGAAGGCCGCUUGAUGAUGGCAAAUCUUGAAAUGAGAAUCAAACCCUAUGGGCGCAAAACCAGUCAUUGAUCAUGGAGGAGGCAAGGCGACACUUCCGUUCUGGCUCCCUCUGGGGUCUCUGCCUCCUAUCCCCUCUGCUGUCUCCUUUGCACAGCCUUUGCUCCAACUCCAGGGAAAUGCAGAUAUUUCAUGAACACACGUUUCUUUUCAUGGCACUGCUGCUUUGUGUAUGCUAGUCCCUCUGCUGGGAAUGCCUUUUCCAUUCUCGCUUGCCUACUCAGGCAGCAGGAGCCAAGUUGACAAGUUCCUCCUUCUGGGAGAUUUUCACAUUCGUCUAAGCAAACAGAAGUUACAGUUGGCACAGUCUCUGUGCUAAUAACACCCAGCAUUUUGAUUGCCUCGGUACUUUUUUUUUUUUUUUGAAGAUUCAUUUUAUUUAUGUGAAAGGCAGAGUUACAGAGAGGGAGAGGUCCUCGAUCUGCUGGUUCACUCCUCCAGUGGCUGCAAUGACUGAGAUUGAGCCAGGCUGAAGCCAGGGUCCUGGAACUCCAUCCAGGUCUCUCGUGGAGAUACAGAGACCCAAACGCUUGGGCCAUCUUGGACUGCUUUCCCAGGCACAUUAGCAGGGAGUUGCUCAGAGGUGGAGCAGCCAGGACUCAAAUCGUCACUCAUGGGGGAUACAAGCAUCACAGGCAGCGACUUUGCCUGCUACACCACCGUGCUGUCAGUACUUACUCCCUGGUUUAGAGCAUGUCUUUUUCAUGACUCUGUCCAAUGAACUGAAAAUUCCUUGUAGACUGGACCAUACCCUAUUCCUCUGAGUUUCUAGUACCUCAAAUGAUUUGUGGAAGUCCAAAUAUGUUAAAUGAAGGAAUGAAUAAAACAACUCUAGAGUUUCGGAUUCACCUCUAUGCUGCAGAUUUAAAUCGACUUGUCUAAGAAAGAUGGAGAUACAAGCUCUUGGCUCUUGGCCCCAGCCAUUGCGGCCAUUUGGAGAGUGAAACAGUGGAUGGAAGAUUCUCCCCCACUCCUGUCAUGCUACCUGUAAAAUAUUUAAGAAAAAAAAAAAGAUGGAGCUAUAAUUGCACUUACUCAUAUUUAACUCAUAUAAAGACCUUCUAAGAUUGCUACAGUACCUUUCGUAAAUGGGACUUCUACAAUACUGAAAGAUUAGAGAUACAGAUACUGUUCAAAGGGACCCAGACAAUUGGCAGUGCUUUUUCUUGUAGAUGAGAAAGUCCCCUCAUUUAUCUUCAAUUUGGAUCAUGGUAAAAGUUUUCUGGGUUUGUGAUGAAAGAUCGAGUAUACAGAGGGCCCUGGAAUAAUAACACUGCUUCUUCCCUAAAUGGGUGUGUCCUAAGGGCAAAGGGCGUCCUGGGAAAGUCAUUAGAAGAGAAAGAAAAUCAUUGUAGGGUAUGCUGCUCCUAUGCAAUAUUCUAUAGUGCAACUUGCAAGUGCUUCGUUUGGGGUCUUUUGCUACACACAUUAAAAAUCUAUAGCAGGUGCACAUACAUGGUCUUUCUCUGCCAUCUGUGAAUCACCUGCAAGGCUGUGAAUUAUUUAUACUAGAUUGCUUUGAUUGCAGUCAUCAGCACUGCACUUGCCAAAGAUUGUUCACCGGGGAAUGUCUUUGAUUUCAGAGACGCUCUCCAGGUCCCCAGUUAAGUAUUAAUGGAAAUGAACUUACUACGCACUUAACAUAUACCUGUAAAGAAGCGUCUUGUCUUGAGAGCAAUCACAACGGGUACGUGGCUUGCUGAGGAUGACUGGAGAUUUAACCCAAUGAGUUAAUUUGUCUAAGGUGUAUGUGAGCUUAUUCACUUCAUGUUGUCGUCCUUCGUUUGCUAGCUCCGAUUUUUAAAAUUGGUAAUGAUUCGAAUUUCUGAAAUAGUUACUUCAGAAUCUGCCUCUGCUGUGGCCAACUUUGCAGUAGUUGGUUACAAAGACUUACAUCAGAACCUGUCAGCCAUUGGACUAAGGCCAACUUGCGUGCCUCGAUGGGCUGGGUGUUUGACUGGAAUGUUGAUCCAUUUGGCCACUGGGGUGGCCAGAGGAAAGCUGCAGGAUGAGACCUCUGGCUACAAGGGAACCUCGUGCUUUCAACUGAGUGUGCUGCCCGCAUAUAGUCGGUUGUUGUUGUUUUUGUUUUGUUUGUGGGGAAGCUUGGGAAGCACUGAGUGGGGGCGUGUUGUGAGGAGCAUACGAGGCGUUUCUGCAAGAGAGCCCCAAGGACCUUUGCGGUCAUGGUGUGUGGGUCCUGAUGUGCUGCCUGCGUGUGAAUCCUUGGUUUAUUCUUUAUUGGUUGGGCAACAGCAGGCCAGUUGUGUAGUCUCUCUGUGCCUCUGAUGGAGAUAAUAACAGAACUUAGAGGAUUGAGAUAGUUUGUCAAAAUAAUAUAGCCAGAGUGCUUAGAAAUGUUGACAUACAGUAAAGCUAUGAAAAGUGUGCACUGUUAGUUUCUUACUGAGGAAUAAGUUCAAUUCAGUAUCAUGUAAUGGUUGAGAAAAUAUGUCUCUAACACUUACUUUGAAAUCAAGAUAGACUAUUCUCCAAUACACAAGUAGCAAUACUCCAUGCUUGUAGUUACUCAGGGAGAAUCGAUAGUGUCCAAGGACUUCUCUUAAAAUUCUUGUUUUAUUGUGAUCAGUCUGAUAGUAUGGGCUUUUUUUUUUUUUUUUUAAGAUUUAUUUACUUACUCGAAAGAGUUAAACAGAAGGAGAGGCAGAGAGAGAGGUCUUCCAUCCACUAGUUCACUCCCCAGUUGUCUGCAACAGCCGGAGCUGCACUGAUCCGGAGCCAGGAGCUUCUUGUGGGUCUCCCAUCCAGAGGCAGGGGCCCAAUUCCUUGGGCUGUCUUCUACUGCUUUCCCAGGCCAUAGCAGAGAGCUGGAUCAGAAGUGGAACAGCUGGGACUCAAACCAGUUCCCAUAUGGGAUGCCGGCACUGCAGGCGGUGGCUUUACCUGCUAUGACAUAGCACUGGUCCCAAGUAGGAGUUUUAAAUUCUGGACAAGUUUGAUAAAAAUUCAAAUAAUUUUUUUCUUGGGCCAGAAUCACCCAGAGUUUAAGACUUAGGUUAAUGAUGGGAGAAAACCAAAACUGGUGAAUUGUAAUAAUUUGUAAUCCAAGUAAUUCAGCUCACCAUAGUGUUUUAGUGGGGAAAAUUGAGGGACUAGACAGACAUCAAAAGCUCCAUUAACCCUGUAAUGAUAGUCAGCUAAUGAGUCGAGACAUCCACAAAACAGUGGAGUCCAGAGCUUCAGCAGGUCUGUAUGUGGAUCAGGGAAUAAGCAAGGCUCCUGCCUGAGAAUGCAGGGUAUCUGUCCCUGAUGGUCGAUUUUUUUCUUCAUUUAACCACCAACCAACUACACCAACCAACAUUUUCUAGGUCUUGUCUUUAAUAGAUGAGUAUUAGGUAGAAAUUCGAAAUGGAUCUGAAUUUAUAAUUGUAAAGUUUCAUACCUUAAAAUGGGCAAAAAUUGAUGACUAGAGCAUUCUUUGAACUACAGGUGGCUCUUAUGUAGCAUUUUGAUUUGUUGUUAAAGCUGACAAAGACUUAGUAUUUCAUAAAGUCCAUAUAGGCGAAAGCCAAAGAAUUUCUCUGUAAGUUGAAACUGUACAAGCAUCUUUGUAUGAAUGCUACUGUUUUUGAAGGAUACCAACAAAGCUUUUCUUUCUUUCUUUUUUUAAAUCCCAUUCUGUCAACUCAGUGCCUCUGUUCUUUUUGGUGACACACAUUUCGUAACCACUCCCUCCCUGAAAAUUAAGGCUACCCAUUAACUAAGAUUGCGAUCAAGCCAGAAAUCAAUCAUGCCAUGUACUCGCCCCGCUGUGGCAGUCUCUCCCCAGUAACAACUUGGAAGCUGUGGAGAGUCAGUCGACAAUGGAAGUGCACAAAAUGGCAUCUUAAUGACCCGAAAGAGCUAAUACAGUUCUGUAAGUGCCUAGCUAAAUAUCACAGAGUGACUUGGACGCUGGGGAGAGCCUGGCUCAUUAUUCCACUCUGCUGAGCUAAAUCAUUUGGGGUCUCUUUAUUUGCUGUUGGCCUUUCUCUUUUCCUUUCUCUGCUCAUGCAUAAAGGAUAUUGAUUUAAAUAAAAGAUACUGUAAACAUGCACUUUGUUAGGGAAAUCUGACUAUGCAAGUAUAAUUUCAAAGGUCAGAGUUCUUGCUAUGCUUGAUUUACAUUAAUUUGUGCUCGAGAAAAAUGCCUACUUGACUAAAUAAAUACAAAAAGAAUUGAUUCACAUACUGCAUUGUGCUCUUCUAUUAUGUUCUCCCAGAGCUCAUCAAAGAGGAAAACUGUAUUUACCAGAAAACUUCAUACAUGGUAUAAGCCCAGUGUAGUGCAAGGGAUUGUACCUCUGGGAAAAAAAGUAUUUAAAAAAUUUUGUACCUGCAUCCUAAAAUGCUUUGCCAGAGUAAAAUAAACAGUUUUCAUUUUUAAAGAUUAUUUUAACACUUUCCAGAAUGACAUGCUUUUUAAAAAAAGAUUCGUUUGAAUGGCAGAGCUACAGAGAUGUGAGAGAGAGAGAAAGAGAGAGAGAGAGAGAGAGAGAGAGAGAGAGAGACCUUCUACACUCUAGUUCACUCCCCCAAAUGCCCACAGCAGCUUGGGCUGAGCCAGACUGAAGCCAGGAUCCAAAAACUCCAUGCUGGUCGCGUACAUGGGGGCAGCGACAGAAGUUCUUGGACCAUCUUCAACAACGUUUCCAGGUGUUUUACUAGGAAGUGGGAUCUGAAGGGGAGGAGCCAGGACUUGCAUCAGCACUCCAAUAGCGAAUGCAGGAUGCCAUUGUCCUCUCUGGCAGCCUAACCCACUGUGCCACACUGCUGGCCCCAACAUAGGCUUUUCUUCAAAAUUCACCACAGACAUUCCAAAGGUGUAUCUUUGCUAACAUGGAAAAACUGACAUAAUAAAAAAACGAUAACUACGUGGCCCAUGUAUUGCAAAAAUAGUAAAUGAUUUAAUUCAUUUGUUCCAGUAGAAAAAACUGUUAAGUCAUAAUUCUCACAAAUUUCACUUUGAGUGCCGAUUUGAUUAUAUUAAUGCAUUCUUCUGUGAAAAAGGUUACUGCCUAUUUUGUUAGAGUAUAGUCCAUUCUGUGCAUUUCAAAAUAGCUUAGUUAGCAUUUUAUUCAUUUAAUUGUGGUCAAAAGAUAAAAAUGUGUUAAAAGCUUGGCAAGUUAAUAAAUAAGUAGAAUAGUAUCAUAAUGACAAAAUCCCUUAACUAUGUGGCAUCUUGCACAUUAAAAAAAUACUCUUGGGUAUUAUUCUGGCCAGAUGUGGUUCACGUUUCCAGCUCAACUCCUUACCAGAGGAAUUGUGAAAUGGGGAUUAUUGAUUCUAGCUUUUAAGCUGCUAGUAAAGUUGCUGGUGAUGAUAGUGACCAUUAAAUGAUCAUUUUCCUCUGCUUACUCCCCCUGCAGUGUUAAUUUCUAUAAUGUUCCCUUUCAUUCAUUUGACAGUUCUUUGAAGCAGAUAGCAAUAUUGCUAUAGUACAGGUUAAAAAAAUCUCACAUGCCUAAGAGACAUGAUUGGGUAAAAUUUGUGUAUAUUAACAUGCUGUGUUUUGUAUCUGUGUAUGUAUCUAUAUAAAUAUACACUCACAAUGAACACACACAUAAAUUUUUUGUAAAAAACACAGUGUAAUUGAGAAUGCUUCAAAAAGUUCAUGGAAGGGGCCGGCACCGUGGCUCGCUUGGUUAAUCCUCCGCCUACAGCGCCAGCAUCCCAUAUGGGCGCCAGUUCUAGUCCUGGUUGCUCCUCUUCCAGUCCAGCUCUCUGCUGUGGCCAGGGAGGGCAGUGGAGGAUGGCCCAGGUGUUUGGGCCCUUGCACCCACAUGAGAGACCAGGAGGAAGCGCCUGGCUCCUGACUUUGGAUUGGUGCAACACCUACCGUAGCAGCCAUUUGGGGAGGGAACCAAUGGAAGGAAGACCUUUCUCUCUGUCUCUCUAAUCUUAUCUAUCAAAUUAAAAAAAAAAAGUUCAUGGAAAAUGGAAUUAAAAACUAGGCUUAUUUUGUGUAUUGUGAUCUUGAAAUGUAUGCACAGUUCUUAAUACACAUUCACAUAACAUUUUUGAAAGCCUAUGUUUUUGAAUAUACAUAUAUAUGUCUUCUAAACAGAACUUAUAAAGGAGAAACUACAUAUAUGAUACAUUACCAAAUACUGUAUUCGAUAGGAUGCAUGCCAUGUCAUUCAGUCUACUAAGUCCACUUACUUAGAAGAACCAGGUAAUUACUAUAUUUUUAUUUGCCUUCAGUUAACUGCUUAAGAGCUUCAGCGUUGCGUCUCCCUGGGUGCAUAUACAUGCACUCAUCUGGAGUCAAUGAAAUGUUACUGUGAAGAGCUAGUCUCUAUCAUCUGUUCAGUUAAGUCAGGACAGCAUACGUUCUGAGUGUCCAUCAUGUGGCCAAGGAGUUCUGCCACUUAAAAGGAGAAUGUGAAACAGACAGCUCCCUAUCAAUAUCACAUGCAUUUUCAUGGGGCAUGUGGGUUUCCCUUUCUCAUGAUCUAUUGUUUCAGUGUAACAAAGGCCCACUGCCAUGACAUCAAGGAAUUUUGGAGUCAUUGUACCUCCUGUAGGGCAGUAAAUCCAAAUUCUUCAUUUUACGUAGUAUUUAAAAAUGAAGUUUGCCGGCGCCGCGGCUCACUAGGCUAAUCCUCCGCCUAGCGGCGCCGGCACACCGGGUUCUAGUCCCGGUUGGGGCGCCGGAUUCUGUCCCGGUUGCCCCUCUUCCAGGCCAGCCCUCUGCAGUGGCCAGGGAGUGCAGUGGAGGAUGGCCCAGGUGCUUGGGCCCUGCACCUGGCUCCUGGCUCCUGCCAUCGGAUCGGCGCGGUGCGCCGGCCGCAGCGCGCCGGCCGCGGCGGCCAUUGGAGGGUGAACCAGCGGCAAAGGAAGACCUUUCUCUCUGUCUCUCUCUCUCACUGUCCACUCUGCCUGUCAAAAAAAAAAAAAUAAAUAAAAAAAUAAAAAUGAAGUUUGUGGGUCUUUUUAUUCACAAAUAGAAAUAUCGAAGCAAAAUUUAUGACACCAAGUGUUGGACUUUUUAGGCUUUUUAUUUUGGGUUAGUUUUAAAUUUCCAAAACCAACAUUGAAGCAGUACAAGUGUCCCUCCUCCAGCUUCCCAGCUUCCCCUAUUAUGAACUUCUGUAUUAGUUUGCUCUGUGGGGAGCAAUUCGGACUAUACUGUUACUCGAAUUAGGACUUAUUCUAUGCAUCUGCUCUCCCACAAUAUGGCGCUGGGAGAGAAGUAAACAGCUUCCGCACAGCUGCCUCCAGUUCAACUAAUAAACUGUAGGACUUGCUCCUGAUUGGAGGAGAGCAGCGUACUCGGCGUGUGGGCAGCCGAGUUGGGAUUGGCGGAGGAGGACUAUAAAGGAGGAGAGAGACGGCAUGCACCAGGAACAUCUAUGGGGAACAUCUAAGGGAACCCGUGCAGCCCCCGAGAGAACCGGCCGGCGGUGUGCCGCUCCCCUGCGGAAGUGGGGAAUGUGGCCAGGGGGAACUGCCCUUCCACGGAGGUGGAGGGGAUAGUAGCCAACCCGGGAAGAACCAGCAGCAAACCCGGGGAGGGCCGAGCAGACAGAAAGAACAGCGCAGGGUCCUGUGUCGUUCCCCCACGAAGACGGGGAGCGACAUAAUGGUGCCGUGACUCGGAUAUGAAGCCUAGGCAGGGCUUAGUGUCGUUCCUCCACGAAGAGGGGGAGCGACAUUGCUCUGUCGAGUACUCACAUUUUUAAAGUCUUUUACACUCAGAAUUUCAGUGACUUUUUAAUUUUAAAGAUUUGCUUAUUUGAAAGGUAGUUAAAAAGGCAGAGGCAAAGAUUGAGAAAGAGAUAGAGAAAUUAAGAGAGAGAGAAAGAAAUUGAGAGAGAGAAAUUGAGAGAGAGAAAUUGAGAGAGAGAAAAAAAUUGAGAGAAAAAUUGAGAGAGAGGGAGGGAGGGGGAGGUUUUCCAUCCACUGGCUCACUCCCCAAAUGGCCACAAUGGCUGGAACUGGGCCCAUCUGAAGCCAGGUCUGCCAAGCACAUGCAGGGGUCCAAGAACUUGGGCCAUCUUCCACUGCUUUGCCAGGUCAUAAGCAGAGAGCUGGAUUGGAAAUGGAGCCGCCGGGACUUGAACCGGCAUCCAUAUCAGAUGCUGGCGCUGCAGCUGGUGGCUUUCACCCGCUUUGCCACGGUGCCAGCCCCUGUAUGAUGCUUUAAUGAGGAAGGGAAACUCAUCCAUCUUCUGGCUUUCAAGUUCAUCUUUAAAACCUUGGAACACACCUCUUUCUGGGAAAGAAUAUCCUGGAAAAGUCUGAGAUGACGCUGUGGGAGAUCCACUUCAGCUGGUGCAGUGGUAAUUAGUGACACUGGUGGAGAGACAUGUAUUUUCAGUCCACAGACCCUGAGUGGAGUGAAGGAAGUUUGGCCUGGGGAGAGUCUGUCUGAGGCCAUGAUGAACACGGGGGAGGCAAGGACCUACAUUUGUAUGUGUAGAGAAUGCUCCAGGGCAGUGAGGCCUUGGGAAAUCUGGUGACCGUGGUCCAUGGCCUCCCAGGGCACACCCACCCCAAGCAGGAUGAAGCUGAUGACAGUGUCGCUGCAGGGGUCACUUCCUGUUCACAUCACUUCCGUUGCCUCCUUCAUUAUACAUUUCUCCAAGAACACCUUUUAACCAUCCUGUAACUAUCAUAAGUCUAAUUUUGACACCUUUCAUUGGCAAUUGCAAUAGAACUCAUGCCCUGAAGUUUGGAACUAUUUAAAUAUCACCAGCUCAACUCUGACUCUUGGUUUGUAGAGCUGCUGAUAAGAAAUAGGAUAAGCAAAGUUUCCUGCUUUGCCUGGUGAGGACCAGGGACGGUUACCUGCUCAACAUCCUCUCAUUAGAGGUGACCCUGUGUGCACUUUCUGAACCAGCGCUAUCCCUGUCUUCCUCUAUUUCCUUACCCUGUUUUAUGCUCACUCCCUGACACUGUAAUGUUCAAUUAUUAAUCCACUUACUGCCUUCCUCGUGGAUGUAAGCUCAGAGUAAGACUUGGUCUAUUUUAUUCACCAAUGUGUCUUCAAUGCUGCUGUUGGGCACGUUUUUAACUGCUUGAAUCAAUGCCUGAAUUAUGGAAACUUUGAAACUGUUUAUAUCUCAUUAUAUUAUGUAGGAGGGGUCUUACAAAAGGUCAUGGAAAAAGCCUGUUAGGAAAGAACUAUGCAUGGAUUUCAGAAUAUUUUUGGACCAAAAGUAAACUUACCUUGUAAUUCCAUUUUCCC